CAUAGCGAACUAUUCUUUCGCCUUUUACUAAAGAAUACCGUG
This 42-nucleotide small nuclear RNA is filed under the name Arabidopsis thaliana (thale cress). RNAcentral describes it as "ncRNA (U5.10)". It matches the Rfam family "U5 spliceosomal RNA", at positions 18 to 59 of the family's 117-position model. Rfam says of the family: U5 RNA is a component of both types of known spliceosome. Lineage: Eukaryota; Viridiplantae; Streptophyta; Magnoliopsida; Brassicales; Brassicaceae. The record is from RNAcentral.